CUCGUAGGCGGUUCGUCGCGUCCGGUGUGAAAGUCCAUCGCUUAACGGUGGAUCUGCGCCGGGUACGGGCGGGCUGGAGUGCGGUAGGGGAGACUGGAAUUCUCGGUGUAACGGUGGAAUGUGUAGAUAUCGGGAAGAACACCAAUGGCGAAGGCAGGUCUCUGGGCCGUUACUGACGCUGAGGAGCGAAAGCGUGGGGAGCGAACA
RNAcentral lists this ribosomal RNA (207 nucleotides) under uncultured bacterium. RNAcentral describes it as "partial 16S ribosomal RNA". It matches the Rfam family "Bacterial small subunit ribosomal RNA", at positions 568 to 774 of the family's 1533-position model. The record is from RNAcentral.